Molecule: ribosomal RNA, 433 nt
Filed under: uncultured Oscillospiraceae bacterium
Lineage: Bacteria; Bacillati; Bacillota; Clostridia; Eubacteriales; Oscillospiraceae
Description: bacterial SSU rRNA
Rfam family: Bacterial small subunit ribosomal RNA
Source: RNAcentral
ACGGGAGGCAGCAGUGGGGGAUAUUGCACAAUGGGGGAAACCCUGAUGCAGCGACGCCGCGUGUGGGAAGACGGUCUUCGGAUUGUAAACCACUGGCUUUGGGGACGAUAAUGACGGUACCCAAGGAGGAAGCUCCGGCUAACUACGUGCCAGCAGCCGCGGUAAUACGUAGGGAGCGAGCGUUGUCCGGAAUCACUGGGUGUAAAGGGAGCGUAGGCGGGUAGACAAGUUGGAUGUUAAAUAUAUCGGCUUAACCGGUAUCUGCAUUCAAAACUGUUUAUCUUGAGUGAAGUAGAGGUUGGUGGAAUUCCUAGUGUAGCGGUGAAAUGCGUAGAUAUUAGGAGGAACAUCGGUGGCGAAGGCGACCAACUGGGCUUUUACUGACGCUGAGGCUCGAAAGCGUGGGUAGCAAACAGGAUUAGAUACCCUGGUA